AGUAGGGAAUCUUCCACAAUGGACGCAAGUCUGAUGGAGCAACGCCGCGUGAGUGAAGAAGGUUUUUCGGAUCGUAAAGCUCUGUUGUUAAAGAAGAACACGUAUGAGAGUAACUGUUCAUACGUUGACGGUAUUUAACCAGAAAGUCACGGCUAACUACGUGUCAG
RNAcentral lists this ribosomal RNA (167 nucleotides) under uncultured bacterium. RNAcentral's name for it is "partial 16S rRNA". It matches the Rfam family "Bacterial small subunit ribosomal RNA", at positions 353 to 511 of the family's 1533-position model. The record is from RNAcentral.